GACGAACGCUGGCGGCGUGCCUAAUACAUGCAAGUUGAGCGCUGAAGGUUGGUACUUGUACCAACUGGAUGAGCAGCGAACGGGUGAGUAACGCGUGGGGAAUCUGCCUUUGAGCGGGGGACAACAUUUGGAAACGAAUGCUAAUACCGCAUAAAAACUCUAAACACAAGUUUUAAGUUUGAAAGAUGCAAUUGCAUCACUCAAAGAUGAUCCCGCGUUGUAUUAGCUAGUUGGUGAGGUAAAGGCUCACCAAGGCGAGGAUACAUAGCCGACCUGAGAGGGUGAUCGGCCACAUUGGGACUGAGACACGGCCCAAACUCCUACGGGAGGCAGCAGUAGGGAAUCUUCGGCAAUGGACGAAAGUCUGACCGAGCAACGCCGCGUGAGUGAAGAAGGUUUUCGGAUCGUAAAACUCUGUUGGUAGAGAAGAACGUUGGUGAGAGUGGAAAGCUCAUCAAGUGACGGUAACUACCCAGAAAGGGACGGCUAACUACGUG
RNAcentral lists this ribosomal RNA (497 nucleotides) under uncultured bacterium. Its description in RNAcentral is "partial 16S ribosomal RNA". It matches the Rfam family "Bacterial small subunit ribosomal RNA", at positions 28 to 507 of the family's 1533-position model. The record is from RNAcentral.